Molecule: transfer RNA, 72 nt
Filed under: Bos grunniens (domestic yak)
Lineage: Eukaryota; Metazoa; Chordata; Mammalia; Artiodactyla; Bovidae
Also listed under: 2 other names
Rfam family: tRNA
About the family: Transfer RNA (tRNA) molecules are approximately 80 nucleotides in length.
Source: Rfam by way of RNAcentral
UUCCAGGUGGCUCAGCGGUAACAGUAUCUGCCUGCAAUGCAGGAGAUCUGGGUUCGAUCCCUGGGUUGGGAA